This is an RNA transcript of Osmia bicornis bicornis, 7782 nucleotides long. It is a transcript of the gene named protein vein, with no coding region annotated. The record is from RefSeq and is a predicted model, not a curated record. The transcript has 9 exons. Lineage: Eukaryota; Metazoa; Arthropoda; Insecta; Hymenoptera; Megachilidae.
CCGACGCGGGGCCACCGACAAUCCCUUCUCCGCCUCGACGUGACACGAGGCUGCUCGUGCAUGCCGCGUGCAACACACGCGCCGAUCCCCCGCACGCGAUAUUAUCCGCACGCGUGCCCGCCAACCGACAGCAUCGUUGCCAUCUAAGAAUAAUCGGUGCCGAGAGAGGUAGAAAAAUCGGGUAGGAAGGAGCAACCGAACGCUCGCUCAUCCGCUCGCCAUCCGAUCUAUCCUCGCGGCCGAAUUUCAUGCCCGCCGCGGUUUUUUCUCGCGCCCGAUAAUAUAAUACGCCGUCGAGUUUUGAACGACGACCGGCAAGAGGAGGAGGAGGAAGAAUCGGUGUGGUAAAACUGAGCAGUGAAGUGCGUCGCGCGAGGGCUAGACUUCGACGGUCGACGCUACCAACCGCGAGAGAGCCUCGUGAGUAUAUUUAAAUAGUGUGUCUCUGGCUGGUCAGAGGAAGCCGACAGUUUCUUGGUCUUCGUCGUCAUCGUCAUCGUCGUCAUCGUCGUCGUCUUCUUCUUCUUCCUCUUCUUCUUCUUCUUCUUCUUCUGCUUCUUCUUCUUCUUCUUCUUCCUCUUCUUAUUCUUAUUCUACCGCUCCUUCCUACGUCGUCGUGUGUCAUCAUCCUCGGCUUUUCCUCGUUCGGAGUGCAACGUGAUACGUGUGUCGAGGGACCGAGACACCGCAACACGGGGGUGGCGCGAAAUUCCUUAUCGAAUCUCGACGAUUCGUUUAUCGUCAUCGCGAAACGCACAGUGUCGUCGAUCCGUCGCUGAAACGAACGCUCCAAGAUCGAUCGAUUGAAACGAUCGGGGACGCGAUCUCACCGAUGAGAGUCCUCGAUUCGAGAAGCUUCUAUCGGGAAUACACCUUCGAGAUCCAACGAAUCCUAAAAGAUCCUUUAUUUUCGAUAUUAAUUAAACUAUAAUAUACGAGUAUCAUCGUACAGUGUACAUAGAAGAAAAUAAUUACGGAGAAAAGUGUGUCAAGGAGGUGAACACGAGGAGACAGUAGCCGCGAGUCGAUCAGACAGAAUGUUCCUUUGCAACGAUCAACAGGAUGAUCCCGAUUUUUGAACUAACUGACCCGGUGCCGUUUGCAAGCAGCUCGAUCGCGGCAAAGGCCGUUCGGCGUCGUCUAGGAUAAUCGGGAGUAAGAUUGAAGGAUGAUGAAGAGGAUGGUAUCGCGUUGGACGAAAAGCAGACAGCCGAGAAUCUGUCCGAUGGAAGUCCCGAUCGCUUGCUGCCGGUGGUACAACACCUCGUGAACAGCGUGUCAAAAGAUCGUUUCGUAACCGAAUGACGUUUCUUCGUUAAAACAUUCAUCCGCGGAGAGAUUGAGAGAAAAAGAAACGAACGAAUCAAGAGGUAAGGAAAGAGAUCGGUGGCGAAUUCCGUUCUGGAAUAGAGACGAAGAAGAAGAAGAAGAGCGCGGGGUGAGAGAGAGAGAGGUGUGUGCUUGUUCGGGGUGACCGAGGUGUCGACCUCACCCCCGAUCAAACCAGCAAGCAGGUCGGAUGAUGUGGGCGUCUCUGUUUUUGGCCGGGAUCUUAAGCGGCUGGUGGGGCGCACUGGCGCUCGCUGCGGCACCCCCCGCCAAUCGGAACUCCCUCGAGGAAACGUCGAGCAGGACCACCAGCGAUCAUCCGCCAUCGAUGAGCAUCGCCAGCGUUGAGAAAGCCCUCGAUUACCGAGCCCUUGCCCUUGAUUCGCCAACUUGGAAUUCGUUGGUCGCAAGAACGAGAGAACCGAUCGCUCGAUCAUCGGAAGAGAAGCAGGAUAGAAGGUUGGCCGAGUCGAGUUCCUCGUGGACGUACGAUAGAUACGCGUCCAUCGCUGGUAACUCGGACUCGGUUGCGAAAACUCGGUAUCCGCAAGAGGAUGAGUCAAAGGAGAAGGCGGAACAAUUGGACGAGUGGAUACGCGAGGCUUUCGUUUCCUCGUCGAAACAGGCGAAUCGUCGUCGCGAGGACGACGUACCGAUACCGCGUGCAAAGAUGCAGGAGUCCGAUCUGACACGGCCGCCUCGUCACUCGUCCUCCACCCAAAUGCCGUUUUUCUAUUCUCAGGGGACCGAGUCGUCCGUGGAAAGGCCACGGCCCAUCCGAUCCACCAAGCAACGACCAAAGAACCGGGCGAAAGCGGACUCGCCACGGGAGCAACGACGAAGAUGCCGUAACAAGGGUUGUCGCGGGCAAAACUGGUGCCCGGACGUGGACGUGGGGAACAGGGCGUACCUGGCGCCAACGGUGUUCGAGGGAAAGGCUAGGAGCAUGUCGUCCGUGAGGAAACCGGGCUCGAACUACGCGGUGACGUUCGAGGUGAAGCAAGUAUACAAGAGUCAGCCCGGUUUCCAGCCGUUGCAGAAGAACGACAGCGUAAGGCUGCACUUUCGAGACAAAUCGGCGCCCGGCAAGUCGACCGUAUGCGGCUACGAUACCGACGGCAAGCAGCAGCAGCAGCAGCAACGCGAUAAUCAGAGUGGUGUGGUGCGAGCCAAUAUUAAGAGGGGUAAAGUGUAUCUAGUGUUUGUGAAUCGCGUGGGACCCAGAAACUUCACGAUCCUCGGUGAGCCGGUGAUUCGAAGCAAGAAGAACGAACAGGCGGUACAGGCUGUCGUUCGACCGGAUUACGUGAGGGAGGUUACGUUGUCCGAACUCAGGGACUCGAUAGCGAGGUUAAGGGAGAGAGUGAAGCUAGUAUGCCGAACGAGGGGUUCUCCGCCCCCGAGGGUGCACUGGCUGAAAGACGGCAUACCGUUGCACCCCCGCAGAGGUCUCAGGAUUCAGCACAAACGACGGAGGUCGAAAGUGGUGAUAUCGUCCGCGAAGCCUGAGGACAGCGGAAGAUACGAAUGCGUGGCUGAGAGUACUUCCGGACAUCGGGCCUCGCUCGCGGCCCAGCUUCUAGUCACUCCCGAUAGCAGAAUUCCGGAAAUGACGACCCCACCGUGGGUGAGGCAGGAACAACCGUGCCCGAUGACUGGUGACUUUUGCAUGAACGGGGGUACCUGCCUGUUUUUCGAGACCGUCGGUGAACCAGCAUGCAGAUGCGCGGAAGGUUUCACGGGUCUACGGUGCGAGACGAAGGAUGUCAUCAGCACCGGAAAUAUGGAUAAAUUCUCUUCGUUCGCCGAGGACGUGACACUCGCCCGCUUCUAGCGCAUCUAGCGGCACUGUCAAGCUUGCACAUCGGGACAUUCAUCGUGUUUUGUUUUGUUGUAGCCUCACCCACAUCCCUACCCGAUACCCGUUCAGGUUCCUACAUAUGCGUCCUCGUCUUCUCCCCUCUCCUUGGGCUCUCUUUUCCAUUCGAUAUUUCCAUUCCAACAGUCGAUCACACGUUUCCAGCUUCCCUCCACCGUUUCUCCUUACUCCAUUCUCCGCAAUUCUCCGUUUACCGCUUUUCCUCUUCUACUUUUACUUAUAUUUCUACUUCUUCUUCUACUUCAACUUCGCCGUUGCAUCGAUUCCGAGCUGCGACGAGCACCUGGCUACACCUUCCAUUUUCAGAGGAGAGCCCCAGGGGAUGAAGCGAUUCGCCGACCAACGUCAUCCGCGCGCAUCCUGAAUCCUGGACCGUCGACAGUCCGCCUACGACAGCUACCUUGCUCGAAAUCUCGUCGAGGAACAUUCUUUUCCGACUGAACAACUCCUUUUUCAAACGGAUGAAAAGCUACGUCCUCUCGAUCGGCAGCGUCGAUUUUCAUCGGACGCCAUCGCCAAAGAGGGCAACAUCGUGUGGUCCACGACAUCGUUCCAGAGAGGAAGCACGGAAAACGGAUCUCGAAGAACAAGGGACGCCAUCGAAUGGAAGCAGCGUGUUCAACGGACGAGAGAAAAGGGGUCGCAGUUGAAUUCGCCGUUCGAAAAAAAAGAAAAGAGAAAAGAAAAACAACGGGCAAAAAUCUUUUCCCCCUUUUCUUUCUCUAUCUGUACCUCUGUCGUUUCUCUAUUUGCUUCCCGGGGGUAGAAAUUGUCGGAAACACAAUAAACGAGCGAAAAUAUUGCGACCAAAUCAAAUUCAAGUCCCAUGCGUGUAAAACUGCAUUCAACUGGAAUAUAUAUAUACACAUACAUAUAUAUAUAUAUGUAUGUAUGUUUUUUUCCAGGCAGUUCGUUCGACGUUCGUUUCAAUGGUUUUUAAUUUUCUCCCCAUGGGAUCGGCAUUUCGCUCGUCGAUCAUUUACGCGUACAGAAAGAAUUAAAAUAGAACACGGCUGGUUGUUGAACGUGUAUCGAUUCACGAGAAGUUGGAAUCUCGAAAGGCUGAGUUAUUUGCUCGAAAGGUUUCUGCACCCGGGGGGUGGGAGCAAAGAGAGAAAAGGGUGAAGACGUCGUAAACCUUAUCCGCAAGCACGUGCGGAUCGUUAGAACAUCCCGUGGACACGACGAUUCCGUUUUACGGGAUUUCAGAAAGAAAAGCUCGGCUAGGGUGACCUCGGUUCGUGUAAUAGGAUUUCCGGAACCAACGAGUUUUCUUAAGGCCACUGUCUUCGAGGUAGCAACGUAAUCGCAUUGAUUAACGUUAACAAAUACGGAAUCCCUUUUUUCCCCAAGGAACAAAGCUCCCAAUAUAGAUUAAACAAAUUUUCCAAAAAGAAUCUCUAAGGAUAUUACUCUUUCGACCCUCUCAAGUAGACACACCGCCUUAACGAUAAAAGAAAACAGAUUCCAAAAUCUAGAAAGACUCGCUAGCAUUCAUAGCAGUGUUAAAAAGAGUUAAAAAACGAAAGCAACUGCCUCGAAGAACGGCCACCUGUUCCGAAUCUGGCAUAAAACAACCACGAAGAGAAACGGUCCUCGGUUUUCGAGCAACGGUUCGUCGAAGCGUGCAAUCGUACGCGUCCAGGACGCUCUUGUACAAAGUAUUCCUUGUAUCCCCUUCGAGCAACGCGCGUAUGUACGUGCGGGUGUGUGUGUGUGUGUGUGUGUGUGGGCGUCUAGUAACGAUCGAUCGAAACAUCAAACACCAGAGUGUCGACCGUUUUUCAGGGAUGAAAGCAAGACAAGACACGAGGGUACCCCCGGUUCGAAAUUGGUGUACAGAGUUCGCGACUCUAAGGGUGGUAACCACCGGUGGCAAGUUAGUUGUGUUAUUACGUGGGGGUUGGAGAAAUUGAGCAGUACUUUAAUUAACGGUACCACGGCGAGCAUCGCCGUAAGAAUCGUUCUACCCCGGCAGCGAACGAGUAAUUACAUUUUCGCUGCACCGAAUCGUAAUGUCGCUCUCGAUUGGCUUCAUCGAGAUGGAAAGAAAAAAGAAACUAAGGUGAAACGGUAACGUCGUAUAGUUGCAAUUAUUAAGGAUAAGGCUGAUUAAUUUUCAAUUAUUCAAACGAAUCUCCUGAUUGUAAAUACAUUGAAAAUUUCUUAUAUCGAACAACAAUGGGGAUACCGAGAUGAUGUUCGAGUUUUCACCGAUCGUGAAAACACACACACACAUAAGCACGUUUGCGCUUACUUUUUACAAUUUUUAGAGCUAUAAAGGAUUACGUAUAAUAGAUAGUCGUCGAACGAACUAGCGAACAGUGUUCCAACGUUCUUCAAACGUGAGAAGAGGAAGUACUUUUUGCCAUUCUUAGCGUUAACAACCAAAGAGACAAUGAGAGAAACGAAGAAAAAAUCGUGGUAGCGUAUGAUGUCCGUGCAAGCUUACUAGUGCCGCCGUGCUUUUUCGUUACGAAAUUCAUUUCGUCGCUCGUACCUAUCGAACGAUUUGUAUGAAAGUCAUCGUGAGUCAUCGAUGGCUCGUUGUUCCGUCUGGUGCACACAAUAUAUCCUCGAAAUCAUAUAUAUAAAAAAAAGCUCGUACAAGUACUUUCGUCUUUCAACGUAGCUAACUAAUUACUCGAACACGUUACACACCCAUCAAGUUUCAAUUUUCUUUUUUAAUUUUUCAUUUCAACAUGGCAACGCCAAUUGGCAACCAAAUGGAACGACGAGCCUGUAUUAAAGAGAAAAAAAAAAAAGAAACAAAAGAGGAAUGUAUUUUAUGAUAUUUUACGCAUAAAACGAUCGUAAAUCGAAUAUAGCGAUUAGUCCAAGGUAAACUUAAGUAGAAAUGUAUAAAUGAAGACGCGGAAAGGUGUCGUGCAAUUUACGAGGGCUGAAGAGGUACGUGUCGAUUUUUCGAGCAAACGAACAAUGCCUGCUAAAACGAUCGUACCAAUCAUGAUAAUGGUUCAUUAUUAAUUAUCAUCGUUAACGUCAAUCCCCUAACGAUCGUGGAAGACUACGACCAUACGUUUGCUAUUUCUUUCACGGAAGUCAAUGAAACAUCGAUUACCGACCUGCAAACCCAUCGAGAAUCACCCUGAAAUACGGGAUAGAACGCUAAGCGCUGUAAAAUAUUGUAUAUUGUUUCGCGUUACUUAUUUUACAAUCUUUUUAAUAGGAGACGCGUUUUUACGAUACCCAAGAAAAUUACAGCCCAUCCAACGAGAGGAGUAAAUGUGUACUUACAAAUUCACCUGCUCGAAACAGGCCCGACUCGCACUACACAGCCCUCGACCGAAGCGUUUGAAGAACUGGAAACAACUGUGCUCCGGCCCUGCGUCGAGCACGGGAAUUUGUAAACAUAAACUGACUCGUCUCGUUGGUCGGACAAUAUAGCGAAACGACUUGUUUUGAUCCACGGUGCUGUGCUCGUUCAUCAAGCGAAGACCAAAAAUGUCUCUAACAUCAGAUACCGUAAGAAUAAUCGCGUUUUUGCCUAAAAUUUCGGUGGUAAAACUGGAUCGCUUACGAAUACGGUGCCACAACGGAUCGGCCGGAUUCUAGUAUGUUUAUAAAAUUCAACGUAUUUCCAACAGCUUUUGCAGUGUGUUAAAUAAAGAGAAGAUGGAAGCGAAUUAUAGUCUAUGCGAGAUUCGAAAAGCGUCGAUGGAUCAUUACAGCCCUCGAGUAAAGUAAUCGCGCGAUCGAAGCAAGCAAGCUUGCCUUGUUCUCGAAAGUUAAGUAAGAUCAGGUCGAAAUAAGAGGUUCGACCGAACGAUUCGUUUUGUACGAUACGUGGAGAACGAUUCACGUUAGUUUGAAAUAGCGAACGAAAGUGCACUAUGAAUCGUAAAGGCUAAUUAAAUAGCAGCACGAAGUACUAACGAAUUAAUAGGGAAAUUGUCGUCGUAAGGGACAAACGAAUGCUGUAAUUUUAUUAAAUGCAGCGUUUUUAAAAUGCCGCUGUGUUGAUGUUUCCUAAAAAUGGUCUUCGAUUUACGUUCGAAGUGGGUCGGGGUACAGUAGGUACCGUGAACGAGAAUGUUACGACCAAAAUAACACUUACUCGAGAUCGCGAGAGAAUCACAGAAACGAUAAUAGUUUAUGUAAGGCACGAAGAUUUGUAUUGAAAUUUCGGUUGACUGCGCACAAAUGAAAUCAAAUCAGACGCCGCGAUUGAAUAAAAUACAUCCAACGAGAUGCCUAGUCAACGUGUACGUGCUCCCAGAAAAUGAUUUUCUCUUUCGUUUGCAUUUACAAACAGAUUUUCGUUUCGUCAUUCGUCUGUUAACCGCAAACGUUAUGUAUCGGAGAAUCGUGACAUCGAAAGGAAAAAUAAUAAAAAAAUUAAGGACGAAGUAUUCGGAGCACCUGUACACUUAAGAGUAUUUAUAUAAUGCUAACGAUGUUACUUGCGAUUUGGUAUAUGACGAAUGUCAAACACGAAAGAAUAUUUUAUUCUAGACGUAUCUUUCAUGCUUUGCCAAGUAAAAUAAUAUAAUUCCUGUGUUAAGUGUAAUAGUCAAUUAUGUUUUAAUAAAAUCUGCCAAGAUUCUUGUCAA